Molecule: ribosomal RNA, 409 nt
Filed under: uncultured bacterium
Lineage: Bacteria
Description: bacterial SSU rRNA
Rfam family: Bacterial small subunit ribosomal RNA
Source: RNAcentral
AGAGUUUGAUCCUGGCUCAGAACGAACGCUGGCGGCAGGCCUAACACAUGCAAGUCGAGCGCGCCCUUCGGGGUGAGCGGCGGACGGGUGAGUAACGCGUGGGAACGUACCCUCUUCUGCGGAAUAGCCACUGGAAACGGUGAGUAAUACCGCAUACGCCCUUCGGGGGAAAGAUUUAUCGGAGGAGGAUCGGCCCGCGUUGGAUUAGGUAGUUGGUGGGGUAAUGGCCUACCAAGCCUACGAUCCAUAGCUGGUUUUAGAGGAUGAUCAGCCACACUGGGACUGAGACACGGCCCAGACUCCUACGGGAGGCAGCAGUGGGGAAUCUUAGACAAUGGGCGCAAGCCUGAUCUAGCCAUGCCGCGUGAGUGACGAAGGCCUUAGGGUCGUAAAGCUCUUUCGCCUGUGA